Molecule: long non-coding RNA, 199 nt
Filed under: Elaeis guineensis (African oil palm)
Lineage: Eukaryota; Viridiplantae; Streptophyta; Magnoliopsida; Arecales; Arecaceae
Description: long non-coding RNA (EGUI_LNC056924)
Source: RNAcentral
UCGGCCAAAGUUGAGCCUGAUCAUUUGGUAGUUAGAUUUCUGAGUAUGAUCAUGUUAAUGGUUAGAUCUAAUCAAGACUUGUAGAGGAUAUCAAAGUCAACUAAAAAGUUUUUUGGGAUAAAAUUAAUUACUAAAAAUUAUUUGAUGAAAUAAUCGGUUAAAAAAUCUACCUAUAGAUGCACACGGGUGGGUCGGCCAA